RNAcentral lists this long non-coding RNA (377 nucleotides) under Rattus norvegicus (Norway rat). Its description in RNAcentral is "long non-coding RNA NONRATT002754". The record is from RNAcentral. Lineage: Eukaryota; Metazoa; Chordata; Mammalia; Rodentia; Muridae.
CUUUUUUUAAAAACUUUCUUCCAGAUGCCUGUGGUCUGUCUGAUGUAGCCCACGUGGAAAGUUUGCAGGAAAAGUCCCAGUGUGCUUUGGAAGAGUACGUUAGGAGCCAGUACCCCAACCAGCCAACACGGUUCGGAAAGCUUUUGCUUCGUCUCCCUUCCCUCCGCACGGUCUCCUCCUCAGUCAUAGAGCAAUUGUUUUUCGUCCGUUUGGUAGGUAAAACCCCCAUCGAAACCCUCAUCCGGGAUAUGUUACUGUCCGGCAGCAGUUUUAACUGGCCAUACAUGGCAAUUCAAUAAAUAAAUAAAUCAAAAUAAGGGGGAGUGAAACAGAGAAAGAAAAGGCAAAAGACUGGUUUUUGUUUGCUUAAUUUCCUU